Non-coding RNA from Triticum aestivum (bread wheat), 87 nucleotides. The record is from Rfam. Lineage: Eukaryota; Viridiplantae; Streptophyta; Magnoliopsida; Poales; Poaceae.
UGGCAGCAAUUAGAAUCUUAUCCACGCUUCUGAUUAACUCAUGAAGUACAGGGACAAAACAUGGUUGAUUUUCUUAUAUGAUUUCCU